This 566-nucleotide ribosomal RNA is filed under the name Pseudoalteromonas sp. TG10-11. RNAcentral's name for it is "bacterial SSU rRNA". It matches the Rfam family "Bacterial small subunit ribosomal RNA", at positions 45 to 604 of the family's 1533-position model. Lineage: Bacteria; Pseudomonadati; Pseudomonadota; Gammaproteobacteria; Alteromonadales; Pseudoalteromonadaceae. The record is from RNAcentral.
GGCCUAACACAUGCAAGUCGAGCGGUAACAGAGAGGUGCUUUGCACCUUUGCUGACGAGCGGCGGACGGGUGAGUAAUGCUUGGGAACAUGCCUUAAGGUGGGGGACAACAGUUGGAAACGACUUGCUAAUACCGCAUAAUGUCUACGGACCAAAGGGGGCUUCGGCUCUCGCCUUUAGAUUGGCCCAAGUGGGAUUAGCUAGUUGGUGAGGUAAUGGCUCACCAAGGCGACGAUCCCUAGCUGGUUUGAGAGGAUGAUCAGCCACACUGGGACUGAGACACGGCCCAGACUCCUACGGGAGGCAGCAGUGGGGAAUAUUGCACAAUGGGCGCAAGCCUGAUGCAGCCAUGCCGCGUGUGUGAAGAAGGCCUUCGGGUUGUAAAGCACUUUCAGUCAGGAGGAAAGGUUAGUAGUUAAUACCUGCUAGCUGUGACGUUACUGACAGAAGAAGCACCGGCUAACUCCGUGCCAGCAGCCGCGGUAAUACGGAGGGUGCGAGCGUUAAUCGGAAUUACUGGGCGUAAAGCGUACGCAGGCGGUUUGUUAAGCGAGAUGUGAAAGCCCU